RNAcentral lists this unclassified non-coding RNA (390 nucleotides) under uncultured bacterium. RNAcentral's name for it is "contains 16S-23S intergenic spacer region". The record is from RNAcentral.
UCCGGUUUGACACCGGCAGUCCCGCUAGAGUGCGUCCGCCCGAAGGCGAACUGGCAACUAGAGGCAGGGGUUUCGCUCGUUAGAGGACUUAACCCGACACUUCACAGCACGAGCUGACGACAGCCAUGCAGCACCUGUGCACGUUCCACCCUUGCGGGUGUCACACCCCUUUCAGGGUGCUAAUCCGUGCAUGUCAAGCCUUGGAUAAGGUUCUUCGCGUUGCGUCGAAUUAAGCCACAUGCUCCGCCGCUUGUGCGGGCCCCCGUCAAUUCCUUUGAGUUUUAGCCUUGCGGCCGUACUCCCCAGGCGGGGUGCUUAAUGCGUUGGCGACGGCACGGAAGGGGUUGAUGCCUCCCACACCUAGCACCCAACGUUUACGGCUGGGACUAC